CUCUCUACUAGUUUACAACUUCACAUUUUUAUUCUUGUUCUUACUCGUACUCGUCAUUAUUUUCUAUUUAGUUAUCAUAAACAACUCAACUCUUUGUCCGUCUAGAUAAUAAACAAUCUUAACUAGUUUGGUAAUUGUUAAUUAAUCUCUGUGGAUACGAUAAUCUUUUAUACUACUUCUGCGCUAGAGUACACUUGCUCUAGGUGUGUUUUUAACGCAACAC
RNAcentral lists this long non-coding RNA (223 nucleotides) under Trifolium pratense (red clover). RNAcentral describes it as "long non-coding RNA (TPRA_LNC010237)". Lineage: Eukaryota; Viridiplantae; Streptophyta; Magnoliopsida; Fabales; Fabaceae. The record is from RNAcentral.